RNAcentral lists this long non-coding RNA (1288 nucleotides) under Ricinus communis (castor bean). Its description in RNAcentral is "long non-coding RNA (RCOM_LNC003228)". The record is from RNAcentral. Lineage: Eukaryota; Viridiplantae; Streptophyta; Magnoliopsida; Malpighiales; Euphorbiaceae.
CCUUAUGUAGCAAAAAGAAGUGAAAUGAAUACAGUUAACCCAAUUAGCAAAUCUGAUAAAGAUAGUGAGGUAAUAGACCUAUUCAAUCUUGCGUGAAAUAGUAAAUAGAUUGAGAGAUGCAUGUGAAAGUAGUUAAUAUACCCACAUGCCCCCGCCAAGCAAACUUAGAUCAGCCACCAACUUGACUGCUAGCACCAUUAUUUUGCAUCAAUGACAGAGACCAACAAUGGGUUAGACAAUAAACUCCAAUUACAUUUAAAAAGAAGCCAAAAAAGAAAGAAGAAAAGGAAAGAGUUUAAUUGCAUGAAAAUUAUAUGUAUGAUGUUGAAGUAAAUAUGAAGUAAUGGGUUAAUGUGGGUUGUGCAAUAGCACGGCCAAGGACCAAAACAAAAGGACGAUAAGGUACUCAUGAUGGUAUUGCAUGUGUGUGCACAUGGGUUUUAAAAGUUUUUAUCACAAAGUGCAUCAUCAUUCUUUCCCUAUUAUAUCUUUAGCGACAUGAAUAAUCAAUGCCCACUUGCUUAUGCUUCAACCCUUUUAAUUCUGUUCUUCGUUUAUACUUUGAUAGGAUAGCAACAAGAAAGAAAGGUCAAACUACCGAUUUUGGACUAAAACAAGAGAUCGAGUCUUAGAAGAGAUAUUUGUAUUAGAAGACAAGGAUUGAAUGAUGACGUCCUGACCUAACAUCAAGACCCAAAAUUUCAAGAUCCCCCAAAAUCCCUUUUCAGAUGACCUAAAUUUAUAAUAGAUAAUCCCUUUUCAGAUGUCCUAAAUUUAUAACAGAUUAUGAAUUGGUAAGAGCUCUUGCUUUAAAGAUAGAAGUUUCAAUUUUAAAUUUGUGGAUUAAUUCUCUAUAGAAUAAAUUCUUAAAAAAAUAUAAAAUCUAUAGUGAUCAUUAAAAAUCUCACAUUAUCUCUACCACUAACAACUAAUUAUAUUUCAUUAAAAAAAAUCCUAAAAAUAACAUAAAACUCGUUUAGUAUUGUCGUUAGAAUCUAGACUAGUUAUGCGUUUCCAAUUUACUAAAUAAUUAUAACACAAUUGUUGAGCUAAUUUAAGUGAAGUAUAAAUAUCGUUCCAUUGCAAUGUAGACUAUUUAUAUUAUUAUUAAUAAUCUGUUUAAUUUAUCUCAAAUUACGAACCUGAUAAUUCGAAGGCCAAUUAGAACACAACGUCCAUUGCCCCCUCCGACUCUCUUUCCGGUGAUAAAGAGAAAAGAUAAAAUGUAGAGAAGCGGUGGAGAACUGAGACAGCAUAGACCAAAAAUGUGAGUGGAUAAACAUACCAU